RNAcentral lists this ribosomal RNA (493 nucleotides) under uncultured bacterium. Its description in RNAcentral is "partial 16S ribosomal RNA". It matches the Rfam family "Bacterial small subunit ribosomal RNA", at positions 28 to 507 of the family's 1533-position model. The record is from RNAcentral.
GACGAACGCUGGCGGCGUGCUUAACACAUGCAAGUCGAACGGUGAAGGGACCGGUUUUUGCUGGUUCUGGAUGAGUGGCGAACGGGUGAGUAACACGUGAGUAACCUUCCCCCUUCUUCUGGAUAACCGCAUGAAAGUGUGGCUAAUACGGGAUAUUCUGCGCCUGCUGCAUGGUGGGUGUGGGAAAGAUAUUGUUUCGGUGGGGGAUGGGCUCGCGGCCUAUCAGCUUGUUGGUGGGGUGAUGGCCUACCAAGGCGGUGAGGGGUAGCCGGCCUGAGAGGAGCGGCGGCAAUAGGAGGCGGGAAAGGCGCACAGGCCUCCAGCGGGAGGCAGCAGGGAGGGUUAUGGGAAGGGGGGCGGCAGGGUGGAGCAGCGCCGCGGCGGGGGGGAUGGUGUCCUGCGGGUGGGACUCUUUUUUCGGUAGUGAAGAAGGCUUGCCCUUUUUGUGGGUGGCUUGACGGUACCUGAAGAGAAAGCGCCGGCUAACUCCGUG